UCAGCAGUUUCCAAAAUAUUAGUCAAUGCUCGCAAGAGUGAACUAGCUAACUGAAAUCAAUGAAAAUAAUAGAUUGAUAACGUAAGGGAAAAUAAUGAUAUUACCUUACUAUUAGUGUCGUCCAAAACUGGUGCCAGAAGACUCGGUAAGGCCAGAGACGCAAACGUUAAUCGUCUUAAUCAGGCGUAAAGGGUUUGUAGGCUGCUUUUAACUUAGAAUAUAAAACUAAAAGCUAGAAUCAAAUAGAGGUUAUAUUACAUAAUACUUAGAGUAGGUCUUAUAUCCUUAGAUACUAAGGGGAAUAUUAAGGGCGAAAGCUUUUUUACCAUUAAUGAUUGACGCUGAGAAACGAAGGUGAGGAAAGGAAAUAGGAUUAGAUACCCAAAAUACCCCUCUCUGUCAACGAUGAAUGGUAACUAUUAGUAAUAAAAUUAGUAGUAAUGUUAACACAAUAACCAUUCCGCCUUGUUACUACGACUGCAAAGUUAAAAACAAAAAAAUUAGUCGGUCUCGAAGCAAACGAAGUGAAGCAUGUUAUUUAAUUAUAAAAAUCCGCAA
RNAcentral lists this ribosomal RNA (558 nucleotides) under Heterobasidion abietinum. Its description in RNAcentral is "partial small subunit ribosomal RNA". It matches the Rfam family "Bacterial small subunit ribosomal RNA", at positions 348 to 965 of the family's 1533-position model. The record is from RNAcentral. Lineage: Eukaryota; Fungi; Basidiomycota; Agaricomycetes; Russulales; Bondarzewiaceae.